This 405-nucleotide unclassified non-coding RNA is filed under the name soil metagenome. RNAcentral's name for it is "partial contains 5.8S ribosomal RNA, internal transcribed spacer 2, and large subunit ribosomal RNA". The stretch from base 1 to 121 matches the Rfam family "5.8S ribosomal RNA", at positions 35 to 154 of the family's 154-position model. The record is from RNAcentral.
GAUGAAGAACGCAGCGAAAUGCGAUAAGUAAUGUGAAUUGCAGAAUUCAGUGAAUCAUCGAAUCUUUGAACGCACCUUGCGCCCUUUGGCCAUUCCGAAGGGCAUGCCUGUUUGAGUAUCAUGAACACCUCAACUCUUUAUGGUUUUCCAUGAUGAGCUUGGACUCUGGGGGUUUUGCUGGCUCACAGUCGGCUCCUCUAAAAUGAAUCAGCUUACCAGUGUUUGGUGGGUAUCAUGGGUGUGAUAACUAUCUACGCUUGUGGUUCUUCCACCAGGUAACCUUCAGCAGUGGAGGUUCGCUGGAGCUCAUAGAUGUCUCUCCUCAGUGAGGACAGCCCUUUGAAUGUUUGAUCUCAAAUCAGGUAGGACUACCCGCUGAACUUAAGCAUAUCAAUAAGCGGAGGA